UAAGGAAACAGAUUGUGAAAGCUCUCUCAAGAAGCUUGACUGCAAAAAGAAAGAAAUCUGGGAUGGAAGCCUGAAGAAGUUGUCAUGUUGAGCCAGCUCACUGGUGUCCAGCUGGGGAGGAUGGAAUGCUCUGGCCCUGCUGGAGUACAGCAGGUUAUGUCUUUCCCAGAUGGACUGAUCUCAAAGCAUGGUUUCCCAGAAUGCUACUCUCUGAGGAAUUGAGACUUUAAACCAGCUACUGUAUAUUCUAUGAAGAGCAGAGCCUGAGGGAUAAAGGAAUGUGAGUGUUUGUUAAAGAGCUUGUAGUGGGCUUGGGAACUGAGACAUAUGAAGCUCCUCUGUGUGCCGGCCUUGAAAAUCUAAGAGGCAGAAGAUUGCCCUGAGUAUCUCCAAGUCUCUUGACAAAAGUCUCUGCUCCUACAACCUUGUCUCUCCUACCAUAUUGAAAAGAAAGCCUUUUGACUCCCUGGGUGGGGAUCAGAACCUGAAGGAAGAUUAAGGUGCUAUAUCUGCUCUUUGGAGAAGACCGACAGUCUGCUACAACAUCGCUCUUCACCAGAGAAACAAAAGUUGCAGGACCCCGCUUUUGUCGCAUGCUCUGAGAUCAUGGACAAGUCAUUUCAUUUUUCUGAGCCUCAAUUCCCCAAUUUGUAAAAUAAAGAUGCAAAUAUUGAAUAGGUUUAUUGUGAAAGACAAAUGAUCUCACCUAUGUAAAAUGGACAGUAGUGUCAAGUACACCAAAGAGAUUCUUCAAAGUUUCCUUGAAUUUGAAUUUAAAGCAUCCAAAAUCUUAAUCCACAGAAAAGAGCUGGAUUAAAAAUGAGAGACAGGUCCAGGCAUGGUUUGGCAUGCCUAUAGUUCCAAUUUGGUGGGAGGCUAAGCAAGGAGGAUUGAAAGUUUGAGGCCAGUCUGGGCAGUUCAAAGAGGCCUUGUCUAAAAAAACCGAGCACACACAGGUAUAUACCUGUCCACAUUAAACUAGCUUUGUGACCUUGGGUAAACCCCUAGCUGUUCCAACUCACUGUUGCCUGAGCUGGGAAAUUGGGAUAACUGUGCAUACCAUGUGCUGCUAGUAGGAAGAUUAAAUAAAUUAAAAGAAAUGAAUCUCUAGGAAAAUGGAAGGGUUUGAAAGAGUCAACAGCAAUAUUUAAAACUGCUUAAUUUUUAGAAAACAUAAUCUUCAAUUAGUGAUAGAUUAGAGAUUUUUUUUAAAGAAAAAAGCAGUGUUACAAACCAAUGGAAUCUCCUUAUGCACUGAAAAGUCUAUUGCCAGCUACUUCUCUGCAGUCAUAAGAUACACAAAUCAAAUUCUUUAUCCAAAGCUGGGGUUCCUCUCAGCUGAGAAAUUACUGGCAGC
Chinchilla lanigera (long-tailed chinchilla) is the source of this 1357-nucleotide long non-coding RNA. RefSeq lists it as uncharacterized. The transcript has 3 exons. The record is from RefSeq and is a predicted model, not a curated record. Lineage: Eukaryota; Metazoa; Chordata; Mammalia; Rodentia; Chinchillidae.